GGCGGCAUAGCCAAGUGGUAAGGCAAAGGUCUGCAACACCUUUAUCACCGGUUCAAAUCCGGUUGCCGCCU
RNAcentral lists this transfer RNA (71 nucleotides) under Psychrobacillus insolitus. RNAcentral describes it as "Bacillus insolitus tRNA". It matches the Rfam family "tRNA". Rfam says of the family: Transfer RNA (tRNA) molecules are approximately 80 nucleotides in length. Their secondary structure includes four short double-helical elements and three loops (D, anti-codon, and T loops). Lineage: Bacteria; Bacillati; Bacillota; Bacilli; Caryophanales; Bacillaceae. RNAcentral also lists the same sequence under 1 other name. The record is from Rfam by way of RNAcentral.